Molecule: small nucleolar RNA, 87 nt
Filed under: Erinaceus europaeus (western European hedgehog)
Lineage: Eukaryota; Metazoa; Chordata; Mammalia; Eulipotyphla; Erinaceidae
Description: Small nucleolar RNA SNORD116
Rfam family: Small nucleolar RNA SNORD116
About the family: HBII-85 is a member of the C/D class of snoRNAs, which contain the C (UGAUGA) and D (CUGA) box motifs. HBII-85 is encoded in a tandemly repeated array with another C/D snoRNA, HBII-52, in the Prader-Willi syndrome (PWS) region of chromosome 15.
Source: Rfam by way of RNAcentral
UGAUCAAUGAUGACUCCCCCUCAAAAGCAUUCCUUGGAGAGCUGAACAAAAUGAGUGAGAACUCACCUAAGAGAGAGAGAGAGAGAA